UGGGGAAUUUUGGACAAUGGGCGCAAGCCUGAUCCAGCAAUGCCGCGUGCAGGAUGAAGGCCUUCGGGUUGUAAACUGCUUUUGUACGGAGCGAAAAGGUCUGCCCUAAUACGGUGGGCUAAUGACGGUACCGUAAGAAUAAGCACCGGCUAACUACGUGCCAGCAGCCGCGGUAAUACGUAGGGUGCGAGCGUUAAUCGGAAUUACUGGGCGUAAAGCGUGCGCAGGCGGUUAUAUAAGACAGAUGUGAAAUCCCCGGGCUCAACCUGGGACCUGCAUUUGUGACUGUAUAGCUAGAGUACGGUAGAGGGGGAUGGAGUUCCGCGUGUAGCAGUGAAAUGCGUAGAUAUGCGGAGGAACACCGAUGGCGAAGGCAAUCCCCUGGACCUGUACUGACGCUCAUGCACGAAAGCGUGGGGAGCAAACA
This 427-nucleotide ribosomal RNA is filed under the name uncultured bacterium. Its description in RNAcentral is "bacterial SSU rRNA". It matches the Rfam family "Bacterial small subunit ribosomal RNA", at positions 355 to 774 of the family's 1533-position model. The record is from RNAcentral.